Molecule: long non-coding RNA, 262 nt
Organism: Rhipicephalus microplus (southern cattle tick)
Lineage: Eukaryota; Metazoa; Arthropoda; Arachnida; Ixodida; Ixodidae
Source: RefSeq, a predicted model, not a curated record
GGACCCCGAGGACUUGCGCCGGUUUCCACCUCGGCGUCUCGGCCCUUGACUGGCAGUAAAACGCCGCACACAAGGAAGACGGCUAGAAAAGGCUAUGGAAGACUGGCUUGUUUGGCUAAAUUCAUCGUUGAAAAAUGUUGAUGACGUUUUCAUUCGAAAUUGGUUUUAGUAGAUGUACGCAAUGACUUACUAUCCUCCAUAACAACUGCAAAUAAAUGACAGCUUUCUAGAGUUUCAUUCCAUUAAAACAGUUCGACUUAGA